GUUCCGCCAUGUUGACACUUUCGCACUAUCUCCUUAAACCUCUCCCAAGCUUCAAAGACAGUUUCAAUCUCGUUCUGAUAGAAGUUAUGAAUCUCCCUUCUAAAAUU
Molecule: small nucleolar RNA, 107 nt
Filed under: Nicotiana attenuata
Lineage: Eukaryota; Viridiplantae; Streptophyta; Magnoliopsida; Solanales; Solanaceae
Description: Plant small nucleolar RNA R71
Rfam family: Plant small nucleolar RNA R71
About the family: R71 is a member of the C/D box family of snoRNAs containing the C (UGAUGA) and D (CUGA) box motifs. Multiple nearly identical copies of this snoRNA have been identified in Arabidopsis, and it is thought to function as a 2'-O-ribose methylation guide for 18S ribosomal RNA.
Source: Rfam by way of RNAcentral